Molecule: long non-coding RNA, 122 nt
Organism: Sinocyclocheilus anshuiensis
Lineage: Eukaryota; Metazoa; Chordata; Actinopteri; Cypriniformes; Cyprinidae
Exons: 3
Source: RefSeq, a predicted model, not a curated record
GGGAGUCACACACACAGCUGAAGGACGACUGAAGAGAGACGAGAGGAGAAGCGGCUUGAGGAGUGGUUCAGCGGAUUCACAUCUGAUGAUCUCAUGUGAGAUGAAUAAAUACAUAACUACAG